ACUCCUACGGGAGGCAGCAGUAGGGAAUCUUCCACAAUGGGCGAAAGCCUGAUGGAGCAACGCCGCGUGGGUGAAGAAGGUCUUCGGAUCGUAAAACCCUGUUGUUAGAGAAGAAAGUGCGUGAGAGUAACUGUUCACGUUUCGACGGUAUCUAACCAGAAAGCCACGGCUAACUACGUGCCAGCAGCCGCGGUAAUACGUAGGUGGCAAGCGUUAUCCGGAUUUAUUGGGCGUAAAGGGAACGCAGGCGGUUCUUUUAAGUCUGAUGUGAAAGCCUUCGGCUUAACCGGAGUAGUGCAUUGGAAACUGGGAGACUUGAGUGCAGAAGAGGAGAGUGGAACUCCAUGUGUAGCGGUGAAAUGCGUAGAUAUAUGGAAGAACACCAGUGGCGAAAGCGGCUCUCUGGUCUGUAACUGACGCUGAGGUUCGAAAGCGU
Molecule: ribosomal RNA, 436 nt
Filed under: uncultured bacterium
Lineage: Bacteria
Description: bacterial SSU rRNA
Rfam family: Bacterial small subunit ribosomal RNA
Source: RNAcentral